AUUGAACGCUGGCGGCAUGCUUUACACAUGCAAGUCGAACGGCAGCGCGGGGGCAACCCUGGCGGCGAGUGGCGAACGGGUGAGUAAUGCAUCGGAACGUAUCCUGUAAUGGGGGAUAACGUAGCGAAAGUUACGCUAAUACCGCAUACGCUCGAGAGAGGAAAGUGGGGGAUCGCAAGACCUCACGUUAUAGGAGCGGCCGAUGUCCGAUUAGCUAGUUGGUGGGGUAAAGGCCUACCAAGGCGACGAUCGGUAGCUGGUCUGAGAGGAUGAUCAGCCACACUGGGACUGAGACACGGCCCAGACUCCUACAGGAGGCAGCAGUGGGGAAUUUUGGACAAUGGGCGAAAGCCUGAUCCAGCCAUGCCGCGUGCGGGAAGAAGGCCUUCGGGUU
Molecule: ribosomal RNA, 394 nt
Filed under: uncultured bacterium
Lineage: Bacteria
Description: bacterial SSU rRNA
Rfam family: Bacterial small subunit ribosomal RNA
Source: RNAcentral